Non-coding RNA from Solanum lycopersicum (tomato), 606 nucleotides. Lineage: Eukaryota; Viridiplantae; Streptophyta; Magnoliopsida; Solanales; Solanaceae. The record is from RefSeq and is a predicted model, not a curated record.
CUGUGAAGUUUGUGACUGUUGAAUAUUGAGUUGUUAUUGAGAAUGUGUAAACUGAUAGAGUGUGGUUAUUGAGUUGUGUGUUUGGUAAACUGUAAACUGUUAGACUGUAGCAUGGAGGUCUAGAUAGGGUGUAAGGAGUACCCGUAUUUUAUUCACUUAACUUGUGUUUAGAGGUUUGCUUGUUGGGUACCGCGUGGUUUGGUACUCACCCCUUGCUUCUACAAACUUUUGUAGGUUACGAGCCCGAAUCUUUGUGAUACUUUCUAUUCUCUUCGUUUCCGAGGCAUCUUGUGGAGGAUUGUGAGAGAUGCCAAAGCAAAACCAAUUUACGGACAAUGUGCUUUGAAAGGUAUAUUCUCAAAUGGCAAAGGGAAAAGUUGUUGUUCGAGGCAGAAUGUGGACUGAGAUUCAUAAGAGAAAAGAUGGGGUGCAGACAUAAAGUGGACGCUAGAGCUACAGGUUGACACUGAAACUAUCCGGACAUAGAGCAUUCAUCCGGACUUGAUAGGCCCUCAUGAUUUUGAGGAUGCUUGCCCAUUAUAUUCUACCUUAUGUAUAGGAUUGAACUAGUGGAGUAUGUUCCACUAGCGUUUCUUUCCGCUUUUG